CCAAUAGCGUAUAUUAAAGUUGCUGCAGUUAAAAAGCUCGUAGUUGAAUUUCGGGAUCAAUAUGUUGGUCGUGCCUUGGUACGUACUAGCUUAUUGAUUUCUUCCUUCUGACGAACCAUGAUGUCAUUAAUUUGGUGUCAUGAGGAAUCAGGACUGUUACUUUGAAAAAAUUAGAGUGUUUAAAGCAGGCUCACGCUUGAAUACAUUAGCAUGGAAUAAUGAAAUAGGACGUUUGAUUCUAUUUUGUUGGUUUCUAGGAUCGACGUAAUGAUUAAGAGGGAUAGUUGGGGGCAUUAGUAUUCAAUUGUCAGAGGUGAAAUUCUUGGAUUUAUUGAAGACUAACUACUGCGAAAGCAUUUGCCAAGGAUGUUUUCAUUAAUCAAGAACGAAAGUUAGGGGAUCGAAGACGAUCAGAUACCGUCGUAGUCUUAACCAUAAACUAUGCCGACUAGGGAUCGGAUGAUGUUAAGUUUUUAAUGACUCAUUCGGCGCCUUACG
This 498-nucleotide ribosomal RNA is filed under the name uncultured Glomeromycotina. RNAcentral describes it as "partial small subunit ribosomal RNA". It matches the Rfam family "Eukaryotic small subunit ribosomal RNA", at positions 591 to 1092 of the family's 1831-position model. Lineage: Eukaryota; Fungi; Glomeromycota. The record is from RNAcentral.